RNAcentral lists this long non-coding RNA (279 nucleotides) under Elaeis guineensis (African oil palm). Its description in RNAcentral is "long non-coding RNA (EGUI_LNC036661)". The record is from RNAcentral. Lineage: Eukaryota; Viridiplantae; Streptophyta; Magnoliopsida; Arecales; Arecaceae.
AGCAUCAGCUGCCUUCUAGCUAUGCUACAACCAAUGGCCACAUGGGCAAACGUCCCAUGAUCUCUAUAUAGUUGGCCAAUUUAUUAUAACAAACUAACAGCUUAACAAACUCUCCUAACGGUCUAACAAUCUGAGCAGGCCUCCUUACCUCCUCUAUAUAAAGGGAGGCAAGGUAUCCUCCAUAAGGUAAGUCUGAAUUGGUAAAGUUCAGACUCUGCUCAAUCAUUUUCAGCUCCCCCACUAAAGGGAAUAAGAGUCUCCUCUCUCUAUUUGCCCACA